UGUAGGCAACUAAGAUGACCCCCUCUUUCAGGAAAAUUCUAAAAAAAGACGUGGAAGGAAAUGAGGGACAUACAGGCUCCAUCACAAGAUGACACAAGCUGAUCAGCACACAGUAACUGGCCUGGUGCUCCAUCAGGUUGCUCAGCUAGCCCCCAUCACAUGGUGAGAAAGUGCUUAUCAGUGUAGAACAUGCAUGAGGAUUUACGUGGGCAUAGCAUCCAG
RNAcentral lists this long non-coding RNA (222 nucleotides) under Cyanistes caeruleus (blue tit). Its description in RNAcentral is "lncRNA (ENSCCEG00000003217.1)". The record is from RNAcentral. Lineage: Eukaryota; Metazoa; Chordata; Aves; Passeriformes; Paridae.